CUCAUGGACCUCUCUCUCAUCAGCUCUGACCCAGAAGCCCACAGUGAUGAUUCCUCCUCUGACAGAGGGACAGCAGACCACACUGAGCUGCACUGCUCCUGGUCUCUGCUCUGGAUCUGCUCCUCAGAUCACCUGGAUGUGGAGACGAGGAGAAAACGACUCUGUCAUUAGAGGAAACUUCAGUACUGAGAGGCUGUCUGCUGCUGCACAAAGACACAGCUCAACUUUGACCUUUACUCCCUCAGCUGAGGACCAUGGUACUGAGGUCACCUGUAAGGUCAGCUUUAAAGGGGGGGCGACAACAGAGCAGACAGAGACUCUGAAUGUAACCUGUAAGUGUCACAAAGUCUACUAAAGGCCACAGUUAUAAAUAUUAUAUUUGUUUUAAAUGAUGAAGUGUAUAAUUUUGUCUUACAGAUGUAAAGGAAGUUCAACUCUUAUGGAACACGGAUGUGAAAGAGGGUGAGACUCUGAAUCUGAGGUGCAACGUUGAGAGUUUCCCUCCAUCUCUCAUCACAUGGACAAAACUUCCUGAUAACAACACACAAACCGGAACAGAAACUGAUCUGCAAAAUGACACUUUAACUGAUCAGGAGAAGAAAACUGAAAUCUUCCUGAAGGAGGGAAUCGGGGAGUCGACUUUUUCCAUCUCUAAUGUGACUGUAAAGGAUUCAGGACUGUACAUCUGCAGAGCAAAACACCUGAACAACACCCUGAUGAAGGAAGUGGAUGUCAAUGUGAUAUGUAAGUGCCAACAAAUGUUCAACCUCAGUGCCAUCUAGUGGUGAUAAUGGAAAAAAUCAGACAAACGCCUACAUGUGGAAACCUUCAUAUGAGUGCUAAUUAAUUAUAUUACACAUAAAUUAUAAAGGAACUGAUACCAGGGUUAAUUAGUUUCAUAUAAUUUUCUAUUAAGUCUGUUGUCCAGAUGCAUACACAUAUAAUUACUCAUAUAAUCUAACAGAUAACAAAAGAAUAUACUCAUGUUAUCCUCUUGAAGUAGAAAGUUCAGUUUCAUUCUUCUAACUUCAUUAUGACUUUUGUUCACAGACAUGAAAACACCUGUAAUCACUGGGAAUACGUCUGUCACUAAAGGGGACUCUCUGAAUCUGACCUGCAGCGUUGAAAGUUUUCCUCCAUCUCAUAUCACUUGGACUUUACUUGGUUCUGGUUCUGACCUGCAGAACGACACGGGAUCAGCCACACUGCUCAUCAGUGAUGUGCAGGCAGAAAACUCUGGAAGGUACAUCUGUACAGCAAAACACCUGAACACGACUGUGACUGUAUUCACUGACGUUUCUGUGACAUGUAAGUGGACUGGACUCAUCUUCCUAUAAGAAACUUCAUGUUCAGAUUUCCCAUGAAGGUUGUUUUGUAAUGUUGUGAUUCUUUUUGUGUGUUUACAGGGAUUCAAAGCAUCUUGAAAGACUCUGGUUGUCAGAUUAGGUCAGAGGUCUUGACUUGUGUGUGUGUCAGUGAAGGUUUUCCUUUACCCACCAUCGAAUGGCCGCUGUUGAAGAACCACGCUAAGUACUCUGCCAUUAAUACUGUGACAAACCACACGAUCAGCAGCACCAUCACAGUGACUGCUAAAGACCACAGCAACACCUCUGCAGAGUGUGUCAGCAGCAACAGAAAUCGAGAAGUCAAAGAAAAUCUCACCAUCCAAAUUAACAUGCCAGAAAUAGAAGGUACAUGUCCUCGACCAAACUACUUCUGCUACUGCAAACUAAAGACCUCUGUGACCUUUGUGUGAGGAAGUCUACUGUAUAAUGCAAGCUGUGCAAGUUCAUCUGCAUGUUCACUGACACUGAAAGUUUUGUGUUGUUCCUCUUAAAGCAGAUCAGUCCUGGGUAUCAAAAACAUUUUCAUGGGUGGAAGUCAUCACUGCCUUUUUUCUGGGCUUAAUUCUCUCAGCUGUCCUUUGGUGUUUGGCAACAAUAUGCCAGAGGUAUUCUAUUAACUCCAAAGAGUUCCUCAUGGUUUGACAUUUGGAUGAUUGUUAUACAUACAUUGAAAUGGUUUGCUUUGUUUUCUCCAGACAAAGACAGAGGAGUUCUGGAAAUAUGGGGAAGACUUUGGUGAUGGUGACCAGUCAGGAGGAUCCCCUGGUAAUUAGAAUUCAUUCUGUUGUAGUUCCCUGACUGUCGGCUUAAGACUGGAUGCAGAACCACCAAAAUCACACCACACCGAAAAAUCCACUUUUUAAAGCAAAAGUAAACACCCUGAUGGUCUGGCCUCCCAUGCCAGUCUGUGUACAAGGAGCAAUGUUUUUGUAUAUAUAUAUAUAUAUAUAUAUAUAUAUAUAUAUAUAUAUAUAUAUAUAUAUAUAUAUAUAUAUAUAUAUAUAUAUAUAUAUACACAUAUAUAUAAAUAUAAAUAUAAAUAUAUAAAUAUAUAUAUUUAUACAUACACACACACACACACACACACACACAUAUAUAUAUAUAUAUAUAUAUACACAUUUAUAUAUACACGUAUAUAUAUAAAAAAAAUAUAUAUAAAAUAUUUAUAUAAAUAUAUAUAUAUAUAUGUAUAUAUAAAUGUAUAUAUGUGUGUGUGUAUAGAUUUAUAUAUAUAUAUAUAUAUUUCUAUAUAAAUGUACAUAUAUAUUUAUUUAUACAUAGGACUAGCCACCAAACACCACUCUACUCCAGCAGCCGCUUGUUUGUGGGGGAGCCCUGACAAGUUGAUCACCGAGUGCAGUGGAGUUUAGCAGCUCAAGGAAGAAAAUUUAGGAUCAUUACUUCAUGGAAAUGCAGUCAGACCGAACACUAAGGCAGAAGAACUACUGCGCCUGCAGUGCACAUACAAAAUACACAAGAAGUUUGAUUGCAUUUCCAUUAAGAAAUCAUCAUAAAUUUUCUUCCUUGAGCUGCGAAACUCCGCCACACUCGGCGAUCGACUUCUCAGGGCUGAUAAACAAGUCUUGUCAUUCAUGUUUUACUUGACAGAUGGAUGCUAGCCAAGAAGAAGAAGAAAAUCACACCUACUACCAAGAGGAAAGAGGAGGAAAAGCUGUGUCAGGGGAGAAAACAGCCCUUAAAGUGAACGGUGAAGCAAAAGAUGUGGAGUACGCCAGCAUUGAUUUCGCUGUGCUGAAAAGGAGGGCAGCAAAGAAGAAGGAGAGCACAAAAACAGAGUACGCUGAAAUUAGGAAAGACAUGAUAGAGCGAAGAGAAAACCACAGUGGAGUUAAAGAUGAAACACUGGGGGAAGAAGAGGAGGAGACAACUGAUUUGGUCACAGAGGAGGAGGAAGGAGAGGGUGUGGCAGUGUACUCCAAUCUGAGGGAUGUAAUAAAUGGGACAUGAGGACAGUGUUCAGAUAUGAAGAACUGAAGUAGUUCACUGAUGAUGGAUUGUUUUACUGUGAGGGACUAAAUUACAAGUCUAUACGUUUAAAAUGAGGCACCAGCUCGGUCCUCUCAGCUCUGGGAGCUGAAGCUAAGUGUAAUUUUGGUCCACUCAAAGCUCUUCAGAGUGGACUGAAUGUCUGUUCCUGUGGAAAAAUUAAAUCCUCCCUUUAACCCUGUGAAGCUAACCUGUCACUUCUCAGUGGCUGUGAUGACUGUAAGACAAUAGUGCAGUGCUGAUAUGGUGAAGAGUGCUUUAAUAAUCGUAUGCAUGGGUUUAUGAUGAAAGGGUUAUAUUUAUAUGAUACAGAUUUUGAAGAGAAGGAUGUUAAACAUCAUAAUUAAAGACUCCUCACUGUCCCGAAUGAGGCCGAGGACUGUGGUGUUGUCUUCUUCAGGACUUUGACAGAUGGAUCCUCUGAGAUCAAGUCAUUUAUGUGGAGGGAGAAGAGCAGUGGGGAAAGAACGCACACCAUCAGCGUAGAUCUAGGUGCUACUAGAUGUGAUCCCCACACCCAUCCUCAGACGAAUUAAGUGUCUGAAUGAAUGAGCGAGUGUGAGAGUUUUCUUCCACAGCUAUAUCUGACCCUGACUUUCAAAGAGAAGAAACUGUUGAGCAGUUUGUUUUCAUCAAUUCUUGUCUUACUUCUGGCACACUGCAGGAAAAAGUAGCUGUAAAUAAAGUGUUCAGUAAACUGACUGGUUAAAAACAA
RNAcentral lists this long non-coding RNA (4068 nucleotides) under Xyrichtys novacula (pearly razorfish). The record is from RNAcentral. Lineage: Eukaryota; Metazoa; Chordata; Actinopteri; Labriformes; Labridae.